GUGCUGACCAGAUCACCUUGUCCAGGUGCGGGUAGCGGUGCGACCUAGCUGUUACAAGGGGACAGCUUUUCAAGGGGACAGCUUUUCAGUGCCUUACCCCAGUGAUGGUCUGCGGUCUUGGUAGUAGGAGGCUGAGGUAAGGUGUUCUCAGUUGGCGCGGUCUGCGCGGCUCUUCUCCAGUGGCCUGUGGGGCAGUUACAGCACGUUCGGCCAUUUUGUUGAGGCCGCGUGGC
This is a non-coding RNA of Pelobates cultripes (western spadefoot toad), 233 nucleotides long. NCBI's taxonomy places the organism in Eukaryota, Metazoa, Chordata, Amphibia, Anura, Pelobatidae. The record is from the annotation of a GenBank genome assembly.